AUAAGCUUUCUGAAGACCAAGGUUAUUUAUUUUUAUUUUUUUUAUCACAGACACUAAUACAUUUUUGGUGUUUCUCAUGAAAUAGGUCUUUUAUAUAUAUAAAGUGAUUUAGGUCCUUUCCACCAAAUGUGCAGAAACAUUUGCAGAAUAAUUGUACUUUUACAUCAUUUGAUUUAUAGCCUGAUUUUGAAUUACAAUAUUGUUCAUAGUACAUGCAUAAUAUUGAUAAAAAUUAAAUGAUUUUAAUUAUAAUUUAAAAUAAGGAAAAAAAUAAAAGAAAAAUUACAACAGCAUUCCACAUAAUUUUUUAAGUACCUCUGAAAAGGUAUGAAUGUGGUAAUAAUUGGUAACACAUUAUUUUAAGGUGUCCUUGUUACACAUCUCAUGUACUUACUAUUAUAAUAAUGCAUAAUUAAUAAUAGUUAAUAAUGCAUAAUUACAUGCAAGUAACCCAAAGCCAAACCCUCAGCCUAACCAUAACCAUAUUGUAAGUACCCAGUACUUAAAAGUAUAACUACACUGUAACAAGGACACCUUAAAAUAAAGUGUAACCUAAUAAUUCAGUACCAUGGAUAGUCAGACACCAGGGUACCACCACCAUACUUUUUGGCAAGGGACAGCACAUCAUGAAAGGCAUCCAGCUAGCUCUUACCACUAUUAUAAAGCAAUGGUGACCUUUAAAUGUUGGAUGAAAUAUGUUUUGGCUUUCCAAUAACACUAUGUAACUCUCAGCUAUGUAGUAUAAAAGAACACAAAUAACUUAACAUCCAUCUGCACUAUAUACAGGGUUAGUAUAGUGGCCAUUCCUGAUACGUGUGUGUGUGUGUGUGUGUGUGUGUGUGUGUGUGUGUGUGUGUGUGUGUGUGUGUGUGUGUGUGUGUGUGUGUGUGUGUGUGUUUGACCAUAAAGUUGUAAUGGAAGCAUCAUGUCUGUCUCUUUUCUGCCAGCUCUUCCCAUCACAGCAUAUUUCCAGUCUCAAAGGAAACAGAGGAAGAAACACACACAUAAAGGAGCCAUUCCUCAGGGAUGACAUAUUACCCACGUCCAGUCGAGGAGAAAAAACUGCACCCAGGACAGCACUGAGGGAAAAAAAUCUUGUUUUCUCUCAUGUUGGAAUUUCCCGCCAGAACUGUACCACUAGGAAAUGUUGACUUUAUUCUUCUGUUUUUGCGAUUCUUUGUGCAAGUUCCUUUUUCAUUUCUGUUCAAGAUUGGACGCUGAAUGCUGGAAAACCCUUAUGCCAAAGGACUCCACAGAGAAGACACAAGAAUGAAACUGUCUUCAGGUUGGCUACCUUUACAAGCUCAUGUAUCACCUAUGACAGCUUCACUAAAAGAUUUCCCUCAGAUACAUUACAGGCUGAGUCAUAUAGUAUCUGCUGCUUUCCAAACAGUUACAGACUCUCACUGUAAAUCAAAGUACAAUGUUUAAGCAUUUUUAAAACAAGAACAAUUUACCUCAAAAACUAUUCAAGGUAAAGCAUAUAAUAUCUGUGCCACCCGUGGCAACAAUUGGAAUUAAAAAAAUAAUGACUGUUUUCAAACUGGUUUCCUAAAACAUGAAGACUGAAAUGUCUGUCAUUGGUUGAUAAAACAGCUAGCCCCGCCCCUACACUUACACCAUUGGUUGAGUCGAUCUUGCUGUGCUGAUCGGAAUGAUAUAUUCCUUUAAUAAACACAGCAGGAAUUUUUUUUUUUUUUUUUUU
Molecule: long non-coding RNA, 1705 nt
Organism: Cyprinus carpio (common carp)
Lineage: Eukaryota; Metazoa; Chordata; Actinopteri; Cypriniformes; Cyprinidae
Source: Ensembl